GAGGAAUAAAUAGGUAACGUACCUUAAGCUUCAGGAUAGCGUCUGAGAGCUUCGGCUCUCUUCCGAAAGGGGCAUUAAUACUGAAUAAUAUCACUGGCUUAACUGCUUGUGAUCAAAGAUUCAUCGGCUUUUGAGCGGCCUAUUUCCUAUCAGCUUGUUGGUGAGGUAACGGCUCACCAAGGCGACGACGGGUAGCGGGACUGAGAGGUUGGCCCGCCACAUCGGGACUGAGACACUGCCCGGACCUCCACGGAGGGCUGCAGUAACGAAUAUUGGGCAAUGGGCGAAAGCCUGACCCAGCAAUGCCGCGUGCGGGAGGAAGCCCUUCGGGGUGUAAACCGCUUUCAGGAGCAAGAAAGCUACGGUUGAUCAGCUCCAGAAGAAGUCACGGCUAACUUCGUGCCAGCAGCCGCGGUAAUACGAAGGUGGCUAGCGUUAUUCGAAAUCACUGGGCUUAAAGGGCGCGCAGGCGGACAUGAUAGUGUUCUGUGAAAUCCCCCGGCUUAACCGGGGAAUGGCAGGGCAUACUACAUGUCUUGAGUCAAGUAGGGGUGUGUGGAACUCUUGGUGGAGCGGUGGAAUGCGUAGAUAUCAAGAGGAACGCCGAAGGUGAAGACAGCACACUGGGCUUGAACUGACGCUGAGGCGCGAAAGCGUGGGGAGCAAACUGGAUUAGAUACCCUGGUAGUCCACGCCGUAAUCGAUGUGUACUAGGUUGCGGAGGUUCUGACACCCUCGCAGUAGCAGCAAAAGUGUUAUGUACACCGCCUGGGGAGUACGGUCGCAAGGCUAAAACUCAAAGGAAUUGACGGGGGCUCACACAAGCGGUGGAGCAUGUGGAUUAAUUCGAAGCAACGCGCAGAACCUUGCCUGGGUGUGACAUGCUAGGAUGCCCGUCGGGAAACAGAUUCGGCUGCCUUCGGGUGAAACUAGCACAGAUGCUGCAUGGCUGUCGUCAGCUCGUGUCGUGAGAUGUCGGGUUAAGUCCUUUAACGAGCGAAACCCUUACCGUUAGUAGCCAUCGGGUCAUGCCGGGGACUCUAGCGGGACUCCCGGUGUCAAACCGGAGGAAGGCGGG
RNAcentral lists this ribosomal RNA (1078 nucleotides) under uncultured organism. RNAcentral's name for it is "bacterial SSU rRNA". It matches the Rfam family "Bacterial small subunit ribosomal RNA", at positions 108 to 1177 of the family's 1533-position model. The record is from RNAcentral.